Molecule: ribosomal RNA, 325 nt
Filed under: uncultured eukaryote
Lineage: Eukaryota
Description: partial 18S ribosomal RNA
Rfam family: Eukaryotic small subunit ribosomal RNA
Source: RNAcentral
CCCUUAGAUGUUCUGGGCCGCACGCGCGCUACACUGAUGCAUUCAACGAGCCUAUCCUUGACCGACAGGUCCGGGUAAUCUUUGAAUCUGCAUCGUGACGGGGAUAGAUUAUUGCAAUUAUUAAUCUUCAACGAGGAAUGCCUAGUAGGCGCAAGUCAUCAGCUUGCGUCGAUUACGUCCCUGCCCUUUGUACACACCGCCCGUCGCUCCUACCGAUUGGGUGUGCUGGUGAAAUGUUCGGAUCGGCCGUUUGUCGCGGUUUCCGCGGCUCGUGGCUGAGAAGUUCAUUAAACCCUCCCACCUGGAGGAAGGAGAAGUCGUAACA